Long non-coding RNA from Callithrix jacchus (white-tufted-ear marmoset), 1722 nucleotides. The record is from Ensembl. NCBI's taxonomy places the organism in Eukaryota, Metazoa, Chordata, Mammalia, Primates, Cebidae.
UACAAAAAAUUAGUCACUCAGUGGUGGCAGGUGCCUGUAAUUCCAGCUACUCGGGAGGCUGAAGCAGGAGAAUCGCUUGAACCUAGGAGGCAGAGGUUGCAAUGAGCCAAGAUUGCACCACUGCACUCCAGCCUGGGUGACAGAGCAAGACUCUGUCUCAAAAAAAAGAAAAAAAAAUAGAAAAAAAAAGUGAGGUAGCCUUUUUGCUUCUGCUUUUUCAGUUUCCAAGGUACCAUAUUUUGAGGCGGUGUUUCCUGCUCCACAUCAGGAGAUAAGGUUCUGACACAUUUGGGGUGACAGCUCCGUUUCAGGCGUCAAUCCAGAAGGGGAAAGCAUCACGGAAAAAGCAAGAAGAAAGCCAGAAACAGAGGGCUCCAUGUGAGGGAGUCUCCUGUGCAAACAGGCUCCAUACCACACGGGCGGCUGUAGAACGAUGGGUUCGUUGCCUGAUGCACGCGGCUCCAGGGGCUAAGUCCAUGUUUGAGUGAAAGCUGUAAAGUCCUUUGAACUGACUGCACCAUGGACCACACCAUAGUUAAACCAUAGUGACCCCUGUUACCAGCACGUACACCUCCAGAUGGCCUCCCAGACCCAGAAAGUCUGAAGUAACAGGAAAACUGUAAAAGAAGUAUAGCUAGCUCCUGCAGCACCUGAUUAACUGACCUUGUGACAUUCUGCCAUUGUUCCUGCUUCAAUUGAUAAGCCAACCUUGUGAUAUUGGACCCUGUGACAAUGCCCCCUGCCCCCAGCUUGCAAAAACUGCCUUGAAGUGUAACUUUCCACUGCCUAUCCCAAACCAGCUCCUAUCCCACCAUCCUCUGCUGACUCUCUUUUCAGACUCAGCCUGCUUGCACCCAAGUGAAUAACCAGCCUUGUUGCUUACACAGACAAGUUAUUGUUUAGAUGGUCUCUUCAUUCAGAGUUUGCUCAACAAAAGCUAUCAGAGAAUUAAUGAGCACAGAAUCUACACACACACAAAAAAAAUAGGCAAGCGCCUCUCUCCUCUCAUGAGAAAUGAAUCAAAAUAGACGUUUUCCCUGAAGGAGGACAGACUCCCUCAGCAAAAAGACUACUCCUGUUCUUUUCCUCAUAUCAGCAAUUUAUGCAGUGACCGUACAUUUAGUCUCAAGAAACUAGAGAUUUUUCUGUUUAAAGGCCCAAGGAGAAUAUAUUUGGCAUGAAUCCUUAGAGGAGUGGGAAGUUGUCUUUCUACUCGGCCUCACUUAUCUGAUUCUCCUCCCCAGGGUAGAACUUCUCAUGGCCUGGAGGCUGAUCCUCCAACUUGGUACCCAGAAGCCCUGCAAAGAUUUAAAAGCUUUGCAAGUCUAGUCUUUGUGGCUUAGCACCAACCCAGCCUGAUUUUGAACUAAUUGUCCCAGUUGACUGAGAUUUCUCUCUUUUGUUGUUGUUAGUCACUGGUCCAAGUGUUUUCUAUCCUUUAUUUCUCACUACAUAUGGCGUUUUCCCCUCAGUAUUUAAAUUGUUGAGGAUUUCAACAGUGCCAAUAUAUAAAGUAUAGAUUCAAGAAGCCCCUGCCCCCCUCACCCUCCCAGGUUACUCUAACUGAAGGGCUUCUCUCUGUGCCUCGCUUAAUUUCUUAGAGGCAAUAACUGAGAUCUUGUGUGGCUUUCAAAUGAAAGCUUAAUUUAAUGGAAGGAAAUAAAAGAAAAGUAAAAGCAUAUCUGUGUUUGUGAUUUUAAUAUUUACAACUCAGGAAUGGAU